RNAcentral lists this ribosomal RNA (256 nucleotides) under uncultured bacterium. Its description in RNAcentral is "partial small subunit ribosomal RNA". It matches the Rfam family "Bacterial small subunit ribosomal RNA", at positions 26 to 286 of the family's 1533-position model. The record is from RNAcentral.
AGGACGAACGCUGGCGGCGUGCUUAACACAUGCAAGUCGAGCGGAAAGGCCCUUCGGGGUACUCGAGCGGCGAACGGGUGAGUAACACGUGAGCAACCUGCCCCUGGCUCUGGGAUAGCCUCCGGAAACGGGGAUUAAUACCGGACAUUCACUUCCUUCCGCAUGGUUGGUGGUGGAGAGUUUUUCGGCCGGGGAGGGGCUCGCGGUCUAUCAGCUUGUUGGCGGGGUAACGGCCCACCAAGGCGACGACGGAUAG